GUGUUGACGGCCGGCAGGAUGAAUGGCACCGCGUUGCCGCCGUGGUCGGUGGUGGAGGCGGUCAGCUCGGGGUUGGCCACCCCGUCGAUCCAC
RNAcentral lists this transfer RNA (93 nucleotides) under Paractinoplanes tereljensis. Its description in RNAcentral is "Actinoplanes tereljensis tRNA-Gly". The record is from RNAcentral. Lineage: Bacteria; Bacillati; Actinomycetota; Actinomycetes; Micromonosporales; Micromonosporaceae.